CCCUUAGAUGUUCUCGGCCGCACACGCGCUACACUGAAAGAGGCAACGUGCUUGCCUGAUUCGAAAGAAUUGGGUAACCCCCUAAUCUCUUUCGUGCUGGGGAUUGAGGUUUGCAAUUAUCCUUCAUGAACGAGGAAUUCCCAGUAAGUGCGAGUCAUUAUCUCGCGCUGACUACGUCCCUGCCCUUUGUACACACCGCCCGUCGCUACUACCGAUUGAAUGAUUUAGUGAGGACUUCGGACUGAGUCCAAUGCGGCUUUCGGGCUGCGUUGGUAUUUCGGAAAGAUGUCCAAACUGUAUCAUUUAGAGGAAGUAAAAGUCGUAACA
Molecule: ribosomal RNA, 327 nt
Filed under: uncultured eukaryote
Lineage: Eukaryota
Description: partial 18S ribosomal RNA
Rfam family: Eukaryotic small subunit ribosomal RNA
Source: RNAcentral